UACGAAGGGGGCUAGCGUUGUUCGGAAUUACUGGGCGUAAAGCGCACGUAGGCGGAUACUUAAGUCAGGGGUGAAAUCCCGGGGCUCAACCCCGGAACUGCCUUUGAUACUGGGCAUCUCGAGUCCGGAAGAGGUGAGUGGAAUUCCGAGUGUAGAGGUGAAAUUCGUAGAUAUUCGGAGGAACACCAGUGGCGAAGGCGGCUCACUGGUCCGGUACUGACGCUGAGGUGCGAAAGCGUGGGGAGCAAACAGG
RNAcentral lists this ribosomal RNA (253 nucleotides) under uncultured bacterium. Its description in RNAcentral is "partial 16S ribosomal RNA". It matches the Rfam family "Bacterial small subunit ribosomal RNA", at positions 524 to 776 of the family's 1533-position model. The record is from RNAcentral.